UACGAAGGGGGCUAGCGUUGUUCGGAAUUACUGGGCGUAAAGGGCGCGUAGGCGGUACUUCAAGUCAGGCGUGAAAGCCCCGGGCUCAACCUGGGAACCGCGCUUGAGACUGGAGAACUAGAGUUCGGGAGAGGAUGGUGGAAUUCCCAGUGUAGAGGUGAAAUUCGUAGAUAUUGGGAAGAACACCGAUGGCGAAGGCAGCCAUCUGGACCGACACUGACGCUGAGGCGCGAAGGUCAGGGGAGCAAUCGGG
This 253-nucleotide ribosomal RNA is filed under the name uncultured bacterium. Its description in RNAcentral is "partial 16S ribosomal RNA". It matches the Rfam family "Bacterial small subunit ribosomal RNA", at positions 524 to 776 of the family's 1533-position model. The record is from RNAcentral.